This 350-nucleotide ribosomal RNA is filed under the name uncultured bacterium. RNAcentral's name for it is "bacterial SSU rRNA". It matches the Rfam family "Bacterial small subunit ribosomal RNA", at positions 355 to 722 of the family's 1533-position model. The record is from RNAcentral.
UGGGGAAUAUUGGACAAUGGGGGAAACCCUGAUCCAGCAAUGCCGCGUGAGUGAAGAAGGCCUUAGGGUUGUAAAACUCUUUCAGAAGUGAAGAUGAUGACGGUAACUUCAGAAGAAGCUCCGGCUAACUCCGUGCCAGCAGCCGCGGUAAUACGGAGGGAGCUAGCGUUGUUCGGAAUUACUGGGCGUAAAGGGCGCGUAGGCGGUAUAAUUAGUCAGUGGUGAAAUCCCUAAGCUCAACUUAGGAACUGCCUUUGAUACUAUUAUGCUAGAGAUCGAGAGAGGUUAGUGGAAUUCCAAGUGUAGAGGUGAAAUUCGUAGAUAUUUGGAAGAACACCAGUGGCGAAAGC